RNAcentral lists this microRNA precursor (108 nucleotides) under Paramuricea clavata. Lineage: Eukaryota; Metazoa; Cnidaria; Anthozoa; Malacalcyonacea; Plexauridae. The record is from RNAcentral.
CAAUUUCCCGCGCGGAGCGGAAUUUCUCUUUGUCUUUUCUAAUUAGUUCCACCCGAAAAAGCAUAUGACAAAGAAAAAUUCCGCUCGGCGCGGGAAAUUCCGCCUAGU